GGCGUAGGCGGUCUAGCAAGUCGGGCGUGAAAGCCCUGGGCUCAACCCAGGACGUGCACUCGAAACUGCUAGACUUGAGUGUCGGAGGGGGUGACGGAAUUCCCGGUGUAGAGGUGAAAUUCGUAGAGAUCGGGAGGAACACCAGUGGCGAAGGCGGUCACCUGGACGAACACUGACGCUGAGGUCCGAAAGCGUGGGGAGCAAACA
This 207-nucleotide ribosomal RNA is filed under the name uncultured bacterium. Its description in RNAcentral is "partial 16S ribosomal RNA". It matches the Rfam family "Bacterial small subunit ribosomal RNA", at positions 568 to 774 of the family's 1533-position model. The record is from RNAcentral.